RNAcentral lists this ribosomal RNA (450 nucleotides) under uncultured bacterium. RNAcentral describes it as "partial 16S ribosomal RNA". It matches the Rfam family "Bacterial small subunit ribosomal RNA", at positions 354 to 796 of the family's 1533-position model. The record is from RNAcentral.
GUGGGGAAUUUUGGACAAUGGGGGCAACCCUGAUCCAGCCAUCCCGCGUGUGCGAUGAAGGCCUUCGGGUUGUAAAGCACUUUUGGCAGGAAAGAAAUCGCACGGGAUAAUACCUCGUGUGGAUGACGGUACCUGCAGAAUAAGCACCGGCUAACUACGUGCCAGCAGCCGCGGUAAUACGUAGGGUGCAAGCGUUAAUCGGAAUUACUGGGCGUAAAGCGUGCGCAGGCGGUUCGGAAAGAAAGAUGUGAAAUCCCAGGGCUUAACCUUGGAACUGCAUUUUUAACUACCGGGCUAGAGUGUGUCAGAGGGGGGUGGAAUUCCGCGUGUAGCAGUGAAAUGCGUAGAUAUGCGGAGGAACACCGAUGGCGAAGGCAGCCCCCUGGGAUAACACUGACGCUCAUGCACGAAAGCGUGGGGAGCAAACAGGAUUAGAAACCCCAGUAGUCC